CUGCACAAUUCUAUGUCCUACUCUUUGUCCUGUAAGAGCUGAGAUAUUUCUGUUGUGCCAGAGGAAUGCUGGAGGUCAAUUAUCAGAGUGGCUGCACUGCCAACUCUGCCAGUCCCCUUCAUAUAGCA
Small nucleolar RNA from Oncorhynchus kisutch (coho salmon), 128 nucleotides. NCBI's taxonomy places the organism in Eukaryota, Metazoa, Chordata, Actinopteri, Salmoniformes, Salmonidae. The record is from Ensembl.